Molecule: ribosomal RNA, 496 nt
Filed under: uncultured bacterium
Lineage: Bacteria
Description: partial 16S ribosomal RNA
Rfam family: Bacterial small subunit ribosomal RNA
Source: RNAcentral
AUGAACGCUGGCGGCGUGCCUAAUACAUGCAAGUCGAGCGAACGGACGAGAAGCUUGCUUCUCUGAUGUUAGCGGCGGACGGGUGAGUAACACGUGGAUAACCUACCUAUAAGACUGGGAUAACUUCGCGAAACCGGAGCUAAUACCGGAUAAUAUUUUGAACCGCAUGGUUCAAAAGUGAAAGACGGUCUUGCUGUCACUUAUAGAUGGAUCCGCGCUGCAUUAGCUAGUUGGUAAGGUAACGGCUUACCAAGGCAACGAUGCAUAGCCGACCUGAGAGGGUGAUCGGCCACACUGGAACUGAGACACGGUCCAGACUCCUACGGGAGGCAGCAGUAGGGAAUCUUCCGCAAUGGGCGAAAGCCUGACGGAGCAACGCCGCGUGAGUGAUGAAGGUCUUCGGAUCGUAAAACUCUGUUAUUAGGGAAGAACAUAUGUGUAAGUAACUGUGCACAUCUUGACGGUACCUAAUCAGAAAGCCACGGCUAACUACGUG